CAGAACUUGUUCUUUAGGAGCUCCUGUUCUACUGAGGGAGAAGGACAUAUAAAUUAAUAGCUAUCAUCCCGUAGAAUAAUGUGGGCAGAUAGAAGAGGUUCUGAACUCAAUGGUGGGAGAUGAAAAGGAUACAGGAUGGGGAAAGCAGAAACAGGACAGCUUCACACAGUAAUCGCAAACUGCUCUGAAUCUUGAAGGAAGAGUAAAAAAUUAGCCAGCAGAUCAGCCAGAUGAAGGCGGGAAGACGAAGCCACUUGGCCGGGGUCAUGGAGGAGGUGUGACAGUGAAGGGUCUUCUGCUUCCACAUCCACAAGGCUUUGUCUUCUUUGCUUUGCUGACUCUUCCUCAAAUUUAGAGCUCCCCAAUGGAAGUCAGCCAGCCUUGACUUGGAUAUGUCAAACCCAUCUACUUUGGACCAUGAAAACUAGUGAAUUCACGCAAAAGAUCAGAGGUUAAGAACCUGCUGAAAGCUUUGCCAAGGCGAUGACCUCUCAGGCAAACCUCAGAAUGGAUUUGGUUUGGUCAGAUUCAGCCUUCCCUCUCCCAGGCCAUGUAAUCUUCAUCAUAUACCCGCAUUUUAUGGACAAGUCUGCCUGUGUACCUUCCCUUUGAACUAAAAAUCUGGACUGGAGGCCACAGACAGUGAACCACCAGUGAGAACAGAAAAAUCUGGAAGAAUCUGGAAGGGUCUUGAAUCUGAAAGACAAAGAAAUAUGGUAAAGGUAAAUUAUUUCAUUCAACUCCCAGAUCAUGGGGUGCUGGCUCCCAGCAAGGGGCUGAAAAAUGGCGGGUAGCAUCAUUGUCAACAUUAUGUCAUGCACCAUCUAUAAUCUGUGUGUACUUUCUCCAAUUCUCUUUUCUCUCCUUCUUCCCUAUGUCACUUUGUUACAGAUGGGGUUAAUGCUUUGCUAGGUAGGGGAAGGACUCACUCUUUAUCAAAUGCCUCCCUCUCUCACCAAACUUUAUUAAAAAAUGAAGACCUCUGCAUAUCUUUAUUCCCAAAUUUAAAACUACAAUCUGUGGGUCUUAGUAGUUUCACAUAAUACCUAGAAUUUUUCUUUUAUUCCUAACCCUACAGACUUAGCAUACAUAUAAAACAUAGAAUUUUAUUGCUAAAGGAGACCUUUGGAAUCAUUAAGCCCCAUCUGGUCAUUUUACAAAUAAGGAAUUAGGCCCAGAAAGGUUAAGUGACUUGCCCAAGAUACACAGCUGCUGUGAGUUGGGCCAGAAUUUCUGACUAAGGUCUUGGCUUUCAAUUAAUACUAGAUAAAGUGAUAAUUGAGAGGUUAUAUUUGUUGGGGAUUUGACCUAGCAUAUGUGUGUGUGCAUGUGUUUGCAUGUGUGUAUGCGUGCAUAUGCGUGUGUGUGUGUGUUUAUGUGUAUCAGGUAACA
Neofelis nebulosa (Clouded leopard) is the source of this 1392-nucleotide long non-coding RNA. RefSeq lists it as uncharacterized. The transcript has 4 exons. Lineage: Eukaryota; Metazoa; Chordata; Mammalia; Carnivora; Felidae. The record is from RefSeq and is a predicted model, not a curated record.